This 445-nucleotide ribosomal RNA is filed under the name uncultured Dekkera. RNAcentral describes it as "eukaryotic LSU rRNA". It matches the Rfam family "Eukaryotic large subunit ribosomal RNA", at positions 130 to 579 of the family's 3401-position model. The record is from RNAcentral. Lineage: Eukaryota; Fungi; Ascomycota; Saccharomycetes; Saccharomycetales; Saccharomycetaceae.
UCGGGCAACCGAGUUGUAAUUUGGAGACGGGACACUAGAGAGGAGGAAGGCGAUUAAGUGCCUUGGAACAGGCUGCCGUAGAGGGUGAGAGCCCCGUGAAUCGCUGGAGACCGAUCAAUUAGUGCCCGCCGAAGAGUCGAGUUGUUUGGGAAUGCAGCUCUAAGUGGGUGGUAUAUUCCAUCUAAGGCUAAAUAUUAGCGAGAGACCGAUAGCAAACAAGUACAGUGAUGGAAAGAUGAAAAGAACUUUGGAAAGAGAGUGAAAUAGUACGUGAAAUUGUUGAAAGGGAAGGGUAUUUGAUCCGACAUGGUGUUUAGCAGCGGCCCGUUCCUCGUGGAUGGGUGCACCUGGUUUACACUGGGCCAGCAUCGGUUCUGGGAGCCAUAUACGGGGUUCGUGAAUGUGGCCCUUCGAUUCUGUCGGAGGGUGUUAUAGCGCGGACAUC